CACCGGCCUCAGCAGCAGCUGCACCGACCGGGAAGGGAAGCACGGCGCGCGAAAGGGCACCGGGGAGAGGAGAUCGCCAGUGUGUGCCCGUCAGAGGCGCAGAGGAAAACACUGCCUCACUCGGGCUCUCCAAAAAGUACAUGGAAACCUCAGUAGACACACGCACACAUACAUGCAUAUACGCAAGCGUACACAACUUCCAGCCAGUUCGAAGCACACCGAUAGACCACUGAUACACGCAGUUGUACCACUACUGCAGCUCCUACAGUUCUCAGUGUAGCUCCGUGCCAGCUACGCCCUCGCACGCACGCACACACAAAGACACAGUAAGAGAGUCCUCUUUACUGCUUGCUUCAUGUCAGCCUUCACCACUCCGAGUCGCACGUCAUCGACCACCGCCGCGGCUGCUGGGACAGGGCACAGCGGCAGCGGCGGCAGAAACUCCGGCCGCCGCGUUGUACGCUCUGCUCUCGAGAUGCUGAUGGACACCACUUCCCCAGAGCUAGUAGGACUCCGUUCGCCAGCUGGCGGAAGCUCCGUGAAGCGUCCAGCCGCGGUCCCUGCCUCAUCCUUUUCCGUCACCUACGCCACGGCUCCUGCCGCUACGUCGGCGUCGUCACAGGCACACUCUACCGUGCGGAGUGUCUUGGCAAGCGCGCCAUCUGCCGCUGGUGCUGCUGCAUCCGCCGGCGCGGCGUCGGCCACCAUGGUGCACUCGCGCGCAGAGCCCAGCGCGCUGGAUUUCUUGUCACCGCGCGGUAAGGACGCGCGGGAGGCGCCUUUACAGCUUCGAUCUUCCGCCAAGUCUCGUCGCCCUCAUGGGCAUCGUGACCGCCCGCCCACCCCCGCGUCUGGGGCGAUGCUGCGGCCACCUGCUGCGCACCCUCCUCAUCGCCAGCGGUACAGAGAAGACGCAGUGCACGACAAGAGUGGCCUCGACGACCACGAAGCCGAUGCUGGCUGGGAUGGGGAUGCCUUCACGGCGCCGUCUUCAUCAGUUGCCACGACGCUCGCCCCUGCUUCACCGUCUCGCAGCCUCUACGCCGAUGUGGAGGCUGCCCGGCAGCCGCUGCCUCCAGCAGUCGAAACGCCUUCUAUGGGCUCCCACGCUCCCACCCCGGUGUCGUCGACGCCACAGUCUGCUGCGAAGGGCAGCCCUCAUGACAACAUCGCUGCGGAGAAGGAGCGGGCGCCGGAAGAGAGGGCAGGAGAUGAUGAUGAUGAUGAUGACGAGGCUGGCGCGGCGGUCCUCGUGACGCAUGCGGAGAUGGAAGCCGUUGUCGCCGCAGCUCUGCGCCGCUACGAGAAGGAGCGAGAUGCCGAGGAGGAGGCGGUGCUUCGGCAGGUCAGUAAGGAGGUCGAGGAACAGGCAAGCCGCUACGCCGACCUUGUCGAGGCCUACAACACCGUGUGCGCGGACCGGGUGACGUUGCAGGAGAAGCUCACCGAGGCAGCAGGGGAGUGCGAGGAGCUGAAACACGCGCUGCAGAAGGCGCGCCAGACGCAGCAGGCGCAGCAGGACUCCAUGAAGCGGCUGGAGGUGGAGUUGUGCCACGCAAGAGAUGCGCAGCAGCAGCAGCAGCGGCAGGAGGAGGAGCAGCGCAUGCUCGUGAAGGCAGCGGGGGCUGAUUGGGAGGCGCAGCGCGCACGCUAUGAGAAACAUCAGGACACGCUCGAGGCGCAGCUUCACCAGGCGCGCAAGGAGCUACAGGAGAUGGAAGCACGCGUGGCGACGCAGGACGACGAGCUCGCCGCGCUGCGAGAGCGCGCCGCGAAGGCGUCUGCCGAAACGGAGGACGAGUACGCCGACAUCCAUCUUCGGAUGCAUCAGCUGGCGCGGAACAUGGCCUCGAUGGAGGGUGCCCUGCGUGAGCGGGACGCUACCAUCGCAGAGCAGGCCGCACGGCUGCGUGAGGCCGCUGACCGGCAGGAGGCGGAGGUGCGUGCGGUGACUACGGAGAAGGAGAAGGCUGAGGCAGCCCUGACGAGCGCGCGUGACGCACUGCAACGGCAGACGGACGACAGUCGACGGCGCAUGCACCGCGUCACCGAACUUCAGCAGCAGAGGGAAGCGCUCAAGGAUGAGGUGAAGGUGGCGCUGCACACGCUGCAGGCGGCUUCAAAGGACCAGGGACGUGUGGUGCAGUCGUUACAGGAUGUGCUGUUCACCGUGAAGCAACGCCUUUUCUCCAGGACCGACGGUGCGGGACGUGUCAGGCCGCCGUCCCCCGCACUCUCCUCACGCAGCCGUCGCCAAUUUCCUGCCAAUUGGCGCAGAGAUCACAUGAACAGCACGCUUGUGUACGAGGGCGACCACGAUGAGAACGCGGAUGAUCUGCGUAGCUGCUCCGCGAUUUUGCAGUCGCACUCGCGCUCAAGCUCGGCGACGCGCACGCUGGAGCUGUCGUCUUCGGAAGACGACGAUGACGCACAAAGUGGGCGUCUUUUCUCGCGUGCAGCGGUGACCGCGAGGGAGGAGCACUGCAGCACCGCAUCCCCGAAGCCUCGCACCCACCGCGCAUCAUCACUCCCUCCACCCGCGGCGACGCCUGGCCAGCGGCGUGCGCGGACGUCGUCGCCGCCCCAGUCAGCAUGUGUGGCGACCCGGGCGGCACCGGCAAACAAUGUGAAGGGCAGCACCUCCGCGAGCCGCAUUUCGCACGAGCUGCGCCACCAAAGCAAGCAAGCGGUUCUCCUGUUGCGCGAGCUCCACCGGUGCGUCUCGUCUCUCCCCUCACAGAGGCGGAAGUCAUCGCCUGGGGGUGACGUCGCUCCCGCAGGCACCAGGGGCAGUGCUGACCGAUCUGGCGCGACUGCAGCGAAGCUCGAGCAGGCCUGCCGCUACCUCAAAUCGGAGCUUGGCCGGGCUCACGCAGCGCUGCAGGAGGCGCAGGCGGAGUGCCAGUGGCGCACGCUCUCCAUGAAGAAGUAUGAAGAGGAUGUGCAGGCUGCUCGCCGCGAGGUGCUUGCCGCGGAGAAACAGCGACUGGCAUGCGAGACGCAGGUUGAGACGGCUGCGCUUGUACGCGAGGAGCUGGAGGCACAGCUGACGGAGCUGAAGGCGACAUGUGCGGCGGUGACGGCUAAGCAGCGAGCAUCCGAGGACGCGGUGGCGGAGGCGAAGGCGGCCGCCGAGCGCAGCGCGGCCCUUGCGGAGGAGGCGGCGCAGCUGAAAGACGCUGCGGAGUCCGCCCUUGUGAGAGAGCAGGCCAAGGGUGCACGUCAGGCGACUGCACUCCGCGAUCACGCAGCGGCGCAGACAGCUCUUACGGAUGAGCUGGAUGAGCUAAAGGAGAAGCACAAGGCAGCCCUUGCGCAGCUGCAGACGUGCCACGCCCGUGAGGCGGUCCAGCUGCUGAAGCAGCAGCAGGAAGAGAGCCAAACGCGCGGGACGGCCGCGGAGGCGUGGAAGACGGAGCGAGCAUCCCUUGAAGCGCACAUCUCAAGCCUUGAGACGAAGCUGCGGGCCUCGACUGGGGCGACGAUGGCUGCCAAGCGCCGCUGCGCAACACUCGAAGAACAGCUUGCGCUACACCUGGAUGUGGAGAGGACUACCUUGAAGACGAUCGGCGACAUUGCCCACGCGCCCCCCUUUCCACUCUCGGUCGAUGCUGCAGUCGUCGGCGACAGCUCCUGCACGCCGCACUUCCACGGUGCCGUGUUGCCGACGGAGAAGCAGCUCUUCGGUGGCGAUGACGAGGCGCCAGAGGUGGAGGAAGUGUUCAUGGUGUCGGCAGAGGCAACGCCGACGAGGAAAGGCGUGCGCAAGGAGCUCGCAGGUGCGGUCUCGCACACGCGCACGACAACUGGCCGAACUACCGCACUGUCGCUGGUAUCAGCGCGCCUUUCCACGGCCGGCGCUACCUCUCCAAGCGUGGUGUCAUCAGCGGCCGUUUCACCGGCGCCGCCAGCAUCGUCGCCGCACCUUGGCGGCGCUUCCCUAGAGACGACAAACUCUUCCGCUAUAACUGCUCUCGCACCUCUACGCCAGCACAUCGUUGCCGCUGUGCAACAGUUGGCGCUGGAGGUGGUGCGCCUGCGGCAAGGUGCAGUACUAGCGUCCGUGAAGUCGCCCGUCAUAACGCAGCCUCGGACGACGACGCGCCGGCCUCGCGACAUAACGUGUGCGGAGGUGUGGUACGGCGGUGCAACGGCGCGCAACGGGGUCGUCGGCGGCGACGUCCCUGUCGAGUCCUGCCAAACGUGGGGCAGCAGCGGCGACGUGAAACGGCCGUCCGCCGUUACUCUUGGCCCCCCACCGCCUUUGGGGGCGUUCAUCGCGGCUCAGCCCCAGCGGCAGUACCAGCACCAGCAUCAGCCCCCACGCACGCCACACAGGGAGCACCCUUCCGCCGACUCUGUCGUCCAGACUCGAACGUCAGGGGAGGUUCCGCAAUCGGGUCAGCGUAGCGGCCGCAGCCAGAGCAGAAACCCACCGACGCCGUCGCAACCGUCGCCGCCUGCCGCAGCGGGCAGCCCCUCCGCAUCUUGCAGUCCGCCGGUGUCCGCUGCAACCGCCGCCGCAGCGGGUGAGCACAUAUACAAUGUCUCACCGUGGCCCCGUUUGCGGCCGCAGCGGUCGCUGUCGUCUUCGAGUCCGCCGGUUUCUCACUCGGCCGUUGCGGCCCACGGCAAACUCUGGAACGAGGCGCGGCGCUCUGCCUCCAUGAAGGAUGGGCUGUCGGGGUAUUCCUACAGCACUGGACGGGGGAGCGUCGAUGGAAGCUGCUCUCCAGCGCGGCCGCCGUCCCUGCGUGCCUUGUCGCUCCCUCGCUGAGCCGCCAAAAAAAAAACCUACUCAAUGAAGAAGUGCGUGGGUCUCUCUCUGUGUGUCUGUCUGUCUGUGUGUGUGUGUGUGUGUGUGUUCGUGUCAGACAGACAGACACAGACGGUGGCGCAGCACUGCUCUCAUGCCUCCUCCUCCCGCAAGGAUGGAGAAGGAAGGGGGGGGCAGAGCGGGGCAGUACGCCUCUCGUUUCCUUCCGUGCCGUCACCCGCGUGCCUUCUCUGGUUGUGGAGCAUAGAACUAG
RNAcentral lists this unclassified non-coding RNA (5030 nucleotides) under Leishmania donovani. Its description in RNAcentral is "gene:LdHU3.04.1350(CDS-product:hypothetical_prote in_conserved)". Lineage: Eukaryota; Euglenozoa; Kinetoplastea; Trypanosomatida; Trypanosomatidae. The record is from RNAcentral.